RNAcentral lists this unclassified non-coding RNA (524 nucleotides) under Hevea brasiliensis (rubber tree). The record is from RNAcentral. Lineage: Eukaryota; Viridiplantae; Streptophyta; Magnoliopsida; Malpighiales; Euphorbiaceae.
GUGAGAAUUCAAUUGAAUUCUUUUUUUCAACAAAUGACUUAUUCCAAAGGAAGCCAUAAUAUUAUUUUGUUUAGUUGAUUUUGGUGCUAAUGUUUACUCUUUUCGGGUGCAUGAUUGGAAAGAUAUUGCUUAAUUUAUUUUUUUAAAUUUUAUUUUAAUGUUCAGGGAACCACGGGCUGUGGAUUUUAAACAGGUGGAUUCUCAUGUUCAUCAAUUGAAGGGUAGUAGUUCUAGGUAUUUGUAUAUAUUAUCUUUUGUUGAUUUAACUGCGUGAUAAAUUCUUUUUAUUUGUGCUUUAGUCAGUACUAAGGCCAAUUACAAAUGUUAAGGCGAAUGGAUGAUGCUAGUCAGUACUUCAAUGAAAUAUCCGUUACUUUCCACCGAGGGCUUCCAAAUCCAUUAAAUAGUGGUUGUGUUGUAACAUAAACCACCAUUGUGUGAAACAUUGAUGAUGCUAGGUCUAAUUUGAAACAUUAUUGUACUUCUGUUUCAUGAUAAAAUAUCAUUUGAGAGGAAUCCUUUUU